GACGUAGGGUGCAAGCGUUGUCCGGAUUUAUUGGGCGUAAAGAGCUCGUAGGCGGUUUGUCGCGUCGGAUGUGAAAACCCAGGGCUCAACCCUGGGCCUGCAUUCGAUACGGGCAGACUAGAGUAUGGCAGGGGAGACUGGAAUUCCUGGUGUAGCGGUGAAAUGCGCAGAUAUCAGGAGGAACACCGGUGGCGAAGGCGGAUCUCUGGGCCUUACCUGACGCUGAGGAGCGAAAGCGUGGGGAGCGAACAGG
RNAcentral lists this ribosomal RNA (253 nucleotides) under uncultured bacterium. Its description in RNAcentral is "partial 16S ribosomal RNA". It matches the Rfam family "Bacterial small subunit ribosomal RNA", at positions 524 to 776 of the family's 1533-position model. The record is from RNAcentral.